RNAcentral lists this ribosomal RNA (528 nucleotides) under uncultured bacterium. RNAcentral's name for it is "bacterial SSU rRNA". It matches the Rfam family "Bacterial small subunit ribosomal RNA", at positions 981 to 1509 of the family's 1533-position model. The record is from RNAcentral.
CGUACAUCCAGAGAACUUAGCAGAGAUGCUUUGGUGCCUUCGGGAACUCUGAGACAGGUGCUGCAUGGCUGUCGUCAGCUCGUGUUGUGAAAUGUUGGGUUAAGUCCCGNAACGAGCGCAACCCUUAUCCUUUGUUGCCAGCGGUUCGGCCGGGAACUCAAAGGAGACUGCCGGUGAUAAACCGGAGGAAGGUGGGGAUGACGUCAAGUCAUCAUGGCCCUUACGGCCAGGGCUACACACGUGCUACAAUGGCGCAUACAAAGAGAAGCGACCUCGCGAGAGCAAGCGGACCUCAUAAAGUGCGUCGUAGUCCGGAUUGGAGUCUGCAACUCGACUCCAUGAAGUCGGAAUCGCUAGUAAUCGUAGAUCAGAAUGCUACGGUGAAUACGUUCCCGGGCCUUGUACACACCGCCCGUCACACCAUGGGAGUGGGUUGCAAAAGAAGUAGGUAGCUUAACCUUCGGGAGGGCGCUUACCACUUUGUGAUUCAUGACUGGGGUGAAGUCGUAACAAGGUAGGCGUAGCGAG